This 493-nucleotide ribosomal RNA is filed under the name uncultured Atopostipes sp. RNAcentral describes it as "partial 16S ribosomal RNA". The record is from RNAcentral. Lineage: Bacteria; Bacillati; Bacillota; Bacilli; Lactobacillales; Carnobacteriaceae.
CACGUAGUUAGCCGUGACUUUCUGGUUAGGUACCGUCAAAGUCAAGACAGUUACUCCUUGACUUGUUCUUCUCUAAUAACAGAACUUUACGAUCCGAAGACCCUCUUCAUUCACGCGGCAUUGCUCCAUCAGGCUUUCGCCCAUUGUGGAAGAUUCCCUACUGCUGCCUCCCGUAGGAGUCUGGGCCGUGUCUCAGUCCCAGUGUGGCCGAUCACCCUCUCAGGUCGGCUACGUAUCAUUGUCUUGGUAGGCCUUUACCCCACCAACUAACUAAUACGCCGCGGGAUCAUCUAUAAGCGACAGCAAAGCCGUCUUUCUUUCAAGGACCAGGCGGUCCAAGAAUAUAUGCGGUAUUAGCAUCCGUUUCCGAAUGUUAUCCCCCACUUAUAGGCAGAUUUCCCACGUGUUACUCACCCGUUCGCCACUCAUCCGCACUCUGCAAGCAGAGUGCUUCAGCGUUCGACUUGCAUGUAUUAGGCAUGCCGCAGCGUGU